UUUUCCGGUGAGCCAAAUAGACUAUAUCAAGGAACAAGAUUUGGUAGAUUAUAAUUUUUAAUAUAUUUAAAUGGAAGAGAUGGUUGAAGAAAAAGAAGAUGAAGGGAAUGUUUGAAGAAAGAGAUGAAUGACGCCUGAGAAAGAAAAAGAUGAAGGGGCACGAAUACUGUGAUGAAGGCCGCCGGAAGAAGAUGAAGGGGUAGGAACUAUAAUUUUG
Molecule: long non-coding RNA, 217 nt
Filed under: Panax ginseng (ginseng)
Lineage: Eukaryota; Viridiplantae; Streptophyta; Magnoliopsida; Apiales; Araliaceae
Description: long non-coding RNA (PGIN_LNC011014)
Source: RNAcentral